UCGGUGAUAACUGAUUGGCCCGUGAAGCAGCGGAAUUUUUGUUUCGUGUGAAAAAGGCAGUCGGUGAUAAUCGAUUGUCCCGGAAGACUACGGAUUUGGUCCGUGUGAAAAGACAGUCGGUGAUAAUCGAUUUGUCCAGAAAAUACAGAAUUGUCCGUGUGAACACGUCGGGUCGAUCCGAGGAGCCGGACAUUUUGGUGUUUUCUGGCCGGGGCGGUGUGUUCUGCCUUUUGUGACGUGUCGGGAAUCAUCAACGAGGCGGUGGAUUGUCCUUCCGGUGAUUUCGGAACAGAACCAAGUGAAUUCGACGUUGUCGGAAGCUGAUAGGUGACCGGCUGGUGAUUUCUGUCGCUACGGGUGAGCGGGGAACGAGCCACGUGUUGCGGUGCCUGGAAGCGCUGAUUUUUUGAGGUUAAGUUGCCGCUGUGUGGAUCUAGCGAAACCUGGAACCAGUUCAGAGAAGCAGCUCACGGACAUGAUGGGUCGAUUGACAACAGCUGGCGACAUGGCUGGAAGUGACAGCGAUGAUCAGGGUUGCCA
This is a long non-coding RNA of Culex quinquefasciatus (southern house mosquito), 540 nucleotides long. RefSeq lists it as uncharacterized. Lineage: Eukaryota; Metazoa; Arthropoda; Insecta; Diptera; Culicidae. The record is from RefSeq and is a predicted model, not a curated record. The transcript is spliced from 3 exons.